Molecule: long non-coding RNA, 2798 nt
Organism: Acipenser ruthenus (sterlet)
Lineage: Eukaryota; Metazoa; Chordata; Actinopteri; Acipenseriformes; Acipenseridae
Exons: 2
Source: RefSeq, a predicted model, not a curated record
GUGUCAUAGCAUGCAAAUAGAUAUCAUUAUAUUAUAUGGUUAUUUUCUGUGUGUGUGUUUUUUUUGUAUUUUAAAAUGAAAAUAUGCACAAAUAUUUAAGGACUUUAAAAAAAAAAAAGAACGAAAACACCAGUGAAAUGCUGUAUUGUUUUAAAAGGAUGUUGUAAGACUUCUUUUGCAUCUGUGUGCAUGGGAGAUCCAUUUUAAGCUACGUCUGAAGGAUUUCAAAACAGAGACACAGGAAAAAAAAAAGUUUCAUGAAAAUGUAAUCUGGACAAGCAAUCAAGAAGCGGGUGUUGCAAGCGCUGACACUGAAAACAGAACAUGGACUUAGUAUUAAAAAAAUUGGAAAAUCAAAAGUAUGGGGAUGAAACGGAGAGAGAGGGGGAGGGGGGGGCCAUAUUUUACAAAUUGAUGCCCUGAGUACGUAACUAAACUAGGAGACUCCGGCAGACUGAAGAGGCUUGAACAGAGCAGAAUCUCACCCCCAGAUUGGACUGUUUGUUAAAUCGAGUGAAAUGUUUUGCCCAGAAUAACGCUAUAGAACGGAUAUGGGACCGCAGUCGAAUCUGAUGGGAUUCACAGCCUGAUGCAGUGAGUGUAUAUGCAGAGAGAGCCAAGUCUGAGGUUCCAGAACCUCAAUGUCAAGAUGGUACCCCUCAGACGCAAUGAGGGCAGGAGUGCGAUCGACGGGGAAGAGUCGAGCGAGGACCGCGAAGAGAGGAUCUUAGCUAUGCUGGGGAUCGCAGGGACAGUCCUCAAUUUGCUGGUGGUUAUAUUCGUUUACAUCUACACCACCAUCUGACCAGCAAGAAGCAUCGAGGAGACGGGGAACAAGCAGUGAUGCACUGAAGGGGGCAGUUUGCACAAUGGAAAGAAAAAAAAAAACACCACAACAGUACAUCAUAAAUAAUUGCACAAGACGGAAGCUGAUACUGUAAAUAUGGCAAGGACUAGUGCUAAGGACAGUAGCCAGCCCACUGACAUUUUCAAGUGGCCUUUGUGUAAACAGAGGAGCAAUUGGAAGAUUGGGCGGUGUCUGAUUAAGAAACACAACUGACAAUGUAGAAGAGAAGUCAGUUGAAUUGAAAAUGGCAGGUAUGAAUUUUUGGGUAGUGGAUGUUCGUCGUCCCACUGAAGUUGGCAAACCCCCAAACUGUGUUGCGAAACUUCAAGAGGGUUUAUCAGUGCCUGUCUCAGAUAGAGUACAGGGGUCCCAGGACACAGCGGGGUUGAAUAAACACUCUCUUACAAAAAUCUUGUUUUCUACAAAUAAGCUUAACCUGGAGAAGACAUAAUGAAAGACUAAACUGAAUCAACUUUAUACUGUACUUCUGAUUAAUGGAAUAUGCAUUUCUACUGUUUCUACGCAAAAGUUGAUCCUGAAAUUCCAAAGCUUUAGAUUAUUAUUAUUAUUAUUAUUAUUAUUAUUAUUAUUAUUAUUAUUAUUAUUAUUAUUAUUAGUAGUAGUAGUAGUAGUAGUAUAGAUAGAUAUGUGGUAGUAUUAAUAUAAAUGCAUAUAGAAAAUGAUAUGGAGGACGCUGUGUGGUCCAGUGGUUAAAGAAAAGGGCUUGUAACCAGGCGGUCCCCGGUUCAAAUCCCACCUCAGCCACUGACUCAUUGUGUGACCCUGAGCAACUCACUUAACCUCCUUGUGCUCCGUCUUUCGGGUGAGACGUAAUUGUAAGUGACUCUGCAGCUGAUGCAUAGUUCACACACCCUAGUCUCUGUAAGUCGCCUUGGAUAAAGGCAUCUGCUAAAUAAACAAAUAAUAAUAAUAAUGAUAUAAUUUCAAAAUAUCUACAAACCUCCAAUAUUAGUGUCCUAUUUUCACAUUUGUAAGUGAUACAUAACAAAAGGGUUUACUGGAAAAAAAAGCAUACUGCCUUGUGGAAGAUUUUACUGUGCUUCCAGAAAGUACAAUCACAUUUUAAAACCUUUUUUUAGCUCCAACGUAAAACUGACACCCCGUGAUUUCGUUUUCGUUACUGGUAGUGGAUUUCUGAAUUCACAGGCAGUGUCAUGUUACAGCUUCCUACAACAUAUGCUGCCCCAGAGCUGAAGGCAGUGGUUUAUGAGCCCAGAGAUUGUAUUUGAAAAGUCAGUGAACAAGAAAAUGAACCCAAUCUAGCCACAGGAAAAGCAACUGCCUUUUCACCUGUCUUAAAAUGCAUGAAAUUAGGCCAAAUAAUGGCAGUUUAAACAGCAUAGCGAAAGCCACAAUAACACAGUUCGCUCAUCUGCAUCACUGCAACACGGUAGUCGAGCAAAAUGUCAUGUGGUUUCAAUAAAAAAAAAAAAAAAAAUUAAAAUAAAAAUUAAAAAUAUUUUAGAGUUUCAGUCAUUCUGGCUGGUUCUUUCUGUAAUGUUUAUUAUUUUUUUCUAUAAUGUUGAGGUGGUUUCACCUGAGGUCAGAAACUGCCCCCGAGUUCAAGAUAUAUAAGGGUUAACGUUAGAUGCUCUGCAAUGCACCAUUUGCAAGAGUGUGCAUAUCCCUAAUUAAAAAUACAAAACAAACCAGUUAUGGAAACAAAAUAAAAACUGCUAUUCAGAAAUAGUAUACUGUAAGUAAAGUAAAAUAUCUUUUACUACAAGCGAACGACAUAAAUGGAUGCCUUUAAUUAUGUGUGUUGCCAAAUAUCUGUGUUUUUUUUUUCUUCUCUAAACAAUAAAACAUUUCUGUAUGACAGAGAGCAACACAUAAAUACAUUGUGUUGUCAAAGCAACAACUACAGCUGCCAUGGAAACAAAUGUAUUUUUAAUGUACUCUUUAUAAUAUAAAAAUUAAAAAAAGAUAA